GAACAGACACUAACCGAAUAACAUAUCACGCUAGAAGUACGUUCAUUUAAAAACGACCUUCCAGGAAGGCUGUGUGUAAUUAGAGACAAAGAGUGGCCACGUUGAAUGCGCGUCUCGAACGAAGAACGCAAUGAGCAUGACCAUGGUAAUGAUUUCGCACUUUUAUG
Caenorhabditis elegans is the source of this 167-nucleotide non-coding RNA. NCBI's taxonomy places the organism in Eukaryota, Metazoa, Nematoda, Chromadorea, Rhabditida, Rhabditidae. The record is from Ensembl.